RNAcentral lists this small RNA (81 nucleotides) under Flavobacterium sp. 120. RNAcentral describes it as "Flavo-1 RNA". Lineage: Bacteria; Pseudomonadati; Bacteroidota; Flavobacteriia; Flavobacteriales; Flavobacteriaceae. The record is from RNAcentral.
AUCUAGCCCCGAUGGAGCUGAUAUCCUCGCAUCUCGUCUUUUGGGACGAGAGAGGAGAUAAAGGCGAUAGCGGGAACUUUG